GGCUCAGUUGGUAGAGCAUGGCGUUUGCAACGCCAGGGUUGUGGGUUCGUUUCCCAC
Molecule: transfer RNA, 57 nt
Filed under: Salmo salar (Atlantic salmon)
Lineage: Eukaryota; Metazoa; Chordata; Actinopteri; Salmoniformes; Salmonidae
Rfam family: tRNA
About the family: Transfer RNA (tRNA) molecules are approximately 80 nucleotides in length.
Source: Rfam by way of RNAcentral